GAUGAACGCUGGCGGCGUGCCUAAUACAUGCAAGUAGAACGCUGAAGGAGGAGCUUGCUCUUCUGGAUGAGUUGCGAACGGGUGAGUAACGCGUAGGUAACCUGCCUGGUAGCGGGGGAUAACUAUUGGAAACGAUAGCUAAUACCGCAUGACAACAGUUAUUGCAUGAUAACUGUUUAAAAGGGGCAACUGCUCCACUACCAGAUGGACCUGCGUUGUAUUAGCUAGUUGGUGAGGUAACGGCUCACCAAGGCGACGAUACAUAGCCGACCGGAGAGGGUGAUCGACAACACUCAGAGUGAUGCACAGCACAGACUCCGCCAGGAAGCAGCAGUAGGGAGGCUUGGGAGAUGGACAGAAGACUGACCGAGCAACGCGGCGUGAGUGAAGAAGGUUUUCGGAUCGUAAAGCUCUGUUGUCAGCGAAGUCCGAGUGUGAGAGUGGAAAUUUCACGCUGUGACGGUCACUUAUCAGAAAGGGACGGCUAUCUAGGUG
RNAcentral lists this ribosomal RNA (495 nucleotides) under uncultured bacterium. RNAcentral describes it as "partial 16S ribosomal RNA". It matches the Rfam family "Bacterial small subunit ribosomal RNA", at positions 28 to 507 of the family's 1533-position model. The record is from RNAcentral.